CAAAAUGUAGCUUAAUUAAAGCCUUUCGCUUACACCGAAAAAACGUUUGUGUAAUUCAAACCAUUUUGAG
Molecule: transfer RNA, 70 nt
Filed under: Rhacophorus norhayatii (Norhayati's gliding frog)
Lineage: Eukaryota; Metazoa; Chordata; Amphibia; Anura; Rhacophoridae
Description: tRNA-Val
Rfam family: tRNA
About the family: Transfer RNA (tRNA) molecules are approximately 80 nucleotides in length. Their secondary structure includes four short double-helical elements and three loops (D, anti-codon, and T loops).
Source: RNAcentral